Mya arenaria is the source of this 844-nucleotide long non-coding RNA. RefSeq lists it as uncharacterized. NCBI's taxonomy places the organism in Eukaryota, Metazoa, Mollusca, Bivalvia, Myida, Myidae. The transcript is spliced from 2 exons. The record is from RefSeq and is a predicted model, not a curated record.
CAAAGUUUAUGUUUGUUAUACACGUGUAUGUAUUGAUUUUGAACAAGAGUGUCACUUUAAAACAUUUUUAAACAUUUUUGGAUGUAUAACAUUGGAAGGAUGGACAAGUUAAUUGAAUAAGAUGUUUAUGACAAACAACAUGGAAUUCAUUCAGGAGGAUGUCGCCGAUUAGCAAAUAUAAAUGUGUUUAGUGAACAAUGGUAUCACCUUAUGAGUUCACACAUGGCUGAGCAUUUGAUAAUAUUGUGACUUAAUGUGUAUAAAUAGCAUUAAUAAUCAGUGAAGCAUGAUCUCACCGAAUGAAAUCGCACAUGGUUGAACAUUUGAUAAUAUUGUGACUUAAUGUGUAUAAAUAGCAUUACUAAUCAGUGAAGCAUGAUCUCACCGUAUGAAAUCACACAUGGUUGAACAUUUGAUAAUAUUGUGACUUGAUCUGUAUACAUAGCCUAAAUAAUCAUUGAAGCAUGAUCUCACCGUAUGAAAUCACACAUGGUUGAACAUUUGAUAAUAUUGUGACUUGAUAUGUAUACAUAGCCUAAAUAAUCAUUGAAGCAUGAUCUCACCGUAUGAAAUCACACAUUGUUGAACAUUUGAUAAUAUUGUGACUUGAUAUGUAUACAUAGCCUAAAUAAUCAUUGAAGCAUGAUCUCACCGUAUGAAAUCACACAUGGUUGAACAUUUGAUAAUAUUGUGACUUGAUAUGUAUACAUAGCCUAAAUAAUCAUUGAAGCAUGAUCUCACCGUAUGAAAUCACACAUGGUUGAACAUUUGAUAAUAUUGUACAUUAGUAGGAAUUUGAGUUUGUUAUCUUGUCAUGUUUGAAAUAAAUGCUUGUGUUUUUAAA